AAAAUCCGUCGACUUUAGAAA
Molecule: transfer RNA, 21 nt
Filed under: Discaria chacaye
Lineage: Eukaryota; Viridiplantae; Streptophyta; Magnoliopsida; Rosales; Rhamnaceae
Also listed under: 8 other names
Description: partial tRNA-Leu
Source: RNAcentral